UAAUCCAAUUGGAGCAAACCCUCGUUUAGUCAUGACAAACUCACAUCUAACUGCUUAAAAUCACUUGUUACUAUAUAAACAGUAAUUUUUUAAGAUUUUAAUUAAAGU
Non-coding RNA from Populus trichocarpa (black cottonwood), 108 nucleotides. The record is from Rfam. NCBI's taxonomy places the organism in Eukaryota, Viridiplantae, Streptophyta, Magnoliopsida, Malpighiales, Salicaceae.